This 164-nucleotide unclassified non-coding RNA is filed under the name uncultured Annulohypoxylon. RNAcentral describes it as "sequence contains ITS2". The record is from RNAcentral. Lineage: Eukaryota; Fungi; Ascomycota; Sordariomycetes; Xylariales.
CGACCCUUAAGCCCCAGUUGCUUAGCGUUGGGAGUCUGCGGCCCAGGCCGCAGUUCCUCAAAGUCAGUGGCGGAGUUGUAGCACACUCUAAGCGUAGUAGUUUUCCAUUGCCUCGCUUGCAGAGCGGCCUCAGCUGCCAGCCGUAAAGCCCUAUACUUCUUAGU